CGUCCUGUUGAAAUUCCCGGGGCUUAACUCGGGCGGUGCAGGCGAUACGGGCAUAACUUGAGUGCUGUAGGGGAGACUGGAAUUCCUGGUGUAGCGGUGGAAUGCGCAGAUAUCAGGAGGAACACCGAUGGCGAGGGCAGGUCUCUGGGCAGUAACUGACGCUGAGGAGCGAAAGCAUGGGGAGCGAACAGGAUUAGAUACCCUGGUAGUCCAUGCCGUAAACGGUGGGCGCUAGGUGUAGGGGUCUUCCACGACUUCUGUGCCGUAGCUAACGCAUUAAGCGCCCCGCCUGGGGAGUACGGCCGCAAGGCUAAAACUCAAAGGAAUUGACGGGGGCCCGCACAAGCGGCGGAGCAUGUGGAUUAAUUCGAUGCAACGCGAAGAACCUUACCUGGGCUUGACAUAUACAGGACUGGGCCAGAGAUGGUCUUUCCCUUUGUGGCUUGUAUACAGGUGGUGCAUGGUUGUCGUCAGCUCGUGUCGUGAGAUGUUGGGUUAAGUCCCGCAACGAGCGCAACCCUUGUCUUAUGUUGCCAGCGGUUUUGGCCGGGGACUCAUGAGAGACUGCCGGGGUUAACUCGGAGGAAGGUGGGGAUGACGUCAAAUCAUCAUGCCCCUUAUGUCCAGGGCUUCACACAUGCUACAAUGGUCGGUACAACGCGCUGCGAGCCUGUGAGGGUGAGCGAAUCGCUGAAAGCCGGCCUCAGUUCGGAUUGGGGUCUGCAACUCGACCCCAUGAAGUCGGAGUCGCUAGUAAUCGCAGAUCAGCAACGCUGCGGUGAAUACGUUCCCGGGCCUUGCACUCACCGCCCGUC
Molecule: ribosomal RNA, 815 nt
Filed under: uncultured bacterium
Lineage: Bacteria
Description: bacterial SSU rRNA
Rfam family: Bacterial small subunit ribosomal RNA
Source: RNAcentral